GCGUUGCUAUCUCCCUCCCUAGGUGCCGUCGGUUUUCCACUCAUGGAAGCGGCGGCUCGCCAACAUCCAGGGACAAGAUAAAAGCGUAAGCGUAAGUGACGGACCCUUGCGCUACUUUGCGUUUUCAUUGUCUUUUGCAUCUGUGCACACAUCAUCUGCGCUUGUGGCUGUGCCGAGACAUGUGGGCUCGGGAGAACCUGGAAUGGUCGUCGCUGGGGGGGGAGCCCCUUAGCGCGACCAGAUAGAUCGUCGUAUCGUCUGUGAUGUCAUCCCUGAAGACCGUCUCAUCAAAAAAUAAGCAUCAUUGUCCAAAUCAAGUGGAAUGUUGUCACGCAUUUAUAUCUUUAGACCUUUAAAUGGCUGUUUCCAAAGCUGUUUCAUGUGCGUGUGCACCGCAUCCCGGCGUUUUACUGUCGUUGUUGUUGACAAUUAGUAGCGGCACAUGCUUUCUGGCAACUGACUGAAAGGCACAGGUUGCCCGUUUCAGACUGCUUGCCGGGUGAUACGUACGACUGAUGAGCCGUGUUCUUCUCAACACAUCGGUGUCUUCUUUACAGCCAGAUAGAUACGUCCUUGCUUUUGCGUGUACGGCGUAUGAAGUAUGAAUUGCGGCACGCGUGAAGGCCACUGACGUCCAAACUCAUCACAACUCUUCCGAAAAAAACCCGAGGGAGCGACUGAAACAUAUACAUACAUACACAUGGGGUCCACGAGAGGGGCAUCUCGUCCCCGUCUGCUAGGAUCUGGAUAUCAAAUCUAUGAUGCGGCUAUUUCCACAGUAGCAUAAAGUUCAAACCCAAAAUUACUUGCACCAACAACCGCACCCGAUUUAGCACACAGACAUGCGCGUCUUUGUUGGUUGUUGACGACUUAGUGCACAAACCCAAACACACGCGCAUGUGUGCACGCACAGGCGGACACACAUACAUACACACAUACACGUGUGUGCUGGUUUGCCGCAAACAGAGGACACACACGCGAACACACCAGAGGGCGCACAUAAAUACGUAUGCACAUAUACACAGCGGUGCCCUCCUUACCGCUGCGCCCUCAGAACCAGACCUCCCACCAUCCUGUAUCUCAGAUGGUAGUAGAGAAGUGAGCAAUAAUCAUGACAGCCAGCCGCACUGCACCCUCGGGCAACGGGCGAAGACCGGUGACGAUGUCGACGAUAUGUCCCAACUUCAGCCACUUCCGAUUCCGUUCUGUACCUCUAGCUUCAAAGUUUUGUUGCCUUCCUUAAGCGCAGUUAAGACCAAGGCUAAAUCUUUAAAUCUGCACAUACGAAGAAGUGACGUGAUGAGUGCAUCAAGCCAUACGCGCCAAAAAGUAAAAGCCGACUUAUGCUGAUUAUGUACCUAAACUUAUUAUACCUUAAGAAAAUAUCUACCACGUGUGACACGAAAAACUUGCGAUAUGAGUGGUGGUCCCCCGGGACAAAGCCCACCGCCGCUUUUAAUAAUUUGACUGAAAAUCAGCCUUCAAAGAGCAAAAUUCAAUUUAUCCCAAAAUGCUAGCAUAUCUAGGACUGCGGUUUGCCCACAAGCCAACGUUUUCUGUACCCGUCUUGACACGCGCUGGACACAUACAUAAUACAUACAUACAUACAUACAUACAUACAUACAUACGUGCGUACGUACAUACAUGCAUACAUACGUAUGUAUGUGCAAGGUCAACACAUACUGCCAGUCGCCGUGACCAUCACCAACAGGCCGCCGCACAUAACCGCCGCACACACAUCCCACACCCCCUGCCUCAUCAUCGGGGACGACCCAUUAGCGUGUCGCAGCUGCUCGCUACGGGGUUGGGUUGGGUUGGGUUGGGUGGGUUAAGGACUCGGAUACCUGUAAAUAGUGGUCCUUGACGUGCGCCGCCAUGAGCUGGGGCAGAAGACACACAUACGAGGCUCGAAAUAAAUUACGGCAUAAAUUACGGCACACAGGAAUAGGCUCCAGAACCAAGAUGUCGCCGAGUGCAGGUUGCCGCACGUUUCAGAAACUGCUUACUUGCUGUAGAGUGGACUGGAAGGCGGAACUGGAUUCCUCAACCCGUAACGCGAAAACGACCAUUUCUUUCAAAUAGAGGACAACAGUCAUAUUCAGUAAGAAGGAAAGGUAACCAUAGCUAUUAUGAUGACGAUAAUAUAAUAAUAAUGUUACCGUUAACGAUUACGAAAGAUAAACAAUAUGUUUGUGAUAGCAUCAACUGCUCAAGGAUUCCAAUGUAAGGUACAAUUGCAAACACUGCUGCUGCACAUUCUGAGCCCUCCUGCUUCCACAGCACGACCCGACCUAAAGCUGAGAUCCUCCCAAGCCUUUGAGAGGCGCUGCAUGAUAUUGCCAAGACCUUCAAACCAUGAUGUCCUGCUCAGCAUGCACGGGUUGGGUGAGCACCAGCCCCC
Molecule: long non-coding RNA, 2401 nt
Filed under: Volvox carteri
Lineage: Eukaryota; Viridiplantae; Chlorophyta; Chlorophyceae; Chlamydomonadales; Volvocaceae
Description: long non-coding RNA (VCAR_LNC000315)
Source: RNAcentral